GACGAACCGUGCGAACGUUGUUCGGAAUCACUGGGCUUGAAGGGCGCGUAGGCGGGCUGCCAAGUCCGUAGGUGAAAUCCCCCGGCUCAACCGGGGAACGGCCUCGGAUACUGGCGGCCUCGAGGGGGGUAGGGGCGUGCGGAACUGUGGGUGGAGCGGUGAAAUGCGUUGAGAUCCACAGGAACUCCGGUGGCGAAGGCGGCACGCUGGACCCUUUCUGACGCUGAGGCGCGAAAGCCAGGGGAGCGAACGGG
This 254-nucleotide ribosomal RNA is filed under the name uncultured bacterium. RNAcentral's name for it is "partial 16S ribosomal RNA". It matches the Rfam family "Bacterial small subunit ribosomal RNA", at positions 524 to 776 of the family's 1533-position model. The record is from RNAcentral.